CGAGUCCACGCAAGUCUCCUAAAACCCUCAUUUCUCUCAAUUUCUGCUCGAAAAUCGCCGUCUCUUUCUUCACUUCCAACCAUUUCGUCGAUUGAUGGCGAAAGGAGCUUCGGAAUUCUCGUUUCUCGGACGUGCAGGUCAACCAAGGUGGACUCGAUAGACUAAUCAAACUUUCAUCUAUAUUUUCUGAAGACCCAUCUGUGCUACAAGAGGUACAUUGAGAGAUGAGUUGUGCCAGACUUAAAGUUGAAUACAUACGAUAAGACAGAUUGCUAUGCACUUGCAAAUCCAUUACUUUGUUUUAUGAGAAAUGCAAAAGGGACUAGCCUGAGUGGCAUUCCAUGGAACUUCCAUUCUAUCAACAUGUUUGAGGAUACAUUUGAGACUGUCAUAUAAGCCUUUUUAACAUGUAUGGUGAUCUAUUUAGCCUUUUAAGCAUGAUAGGCUAUCCUUAGGUAACUGUUGCAUUAACUGUAUACUCUGUACUGAUUUUUCUCUUUAUGGUAGUGUAAUAGUGCUUGAGGAACUACUUACAUGUUGUCUAUGCAGGAUGGCAUGUGCACUACAUGACUUUGCAUGCACCAAGAUUGCCUCUAAAAGUCCACAUAGUUAUUAAAAAAUAAAAA
Magnolia sinica is the source of this 626-nucleotide long non-coding RNA. RefSeq lists it as uncharacterized. Lineage: Eukaryota; Viridiplantae; Streptophyta; Magnoliopsida; Magnoliales; Magnoliaceae. The transcript is spliced from 2 exons. The record is from RefSeq and is a predicted model, not a curated record.